ACGAGUGGCGAACGGGUGCGUAACGCGUAUACAACCUACCUCUUAUUAAGGAAUAGCUCAGAGAAAUUUGAAUUAAUACCUUAUAAUAUCAUAAAGUCGCAUGGCUUAAUGAUUAAAGAACUUCGAUAAGAGAUGGGUAUGCGUGAUAUUAGCUAGUUGGUAAGGUAACGGCUUACCAAGGCAACGAUAUCUAGGGGGUCUGAGAGGAUGAUCCCCCACACUGGUACUGAGACACGGACCAGACUCCUACGGGAGGCAGCAGUGAGGAAUCUUGCACAAUGGAGGAAACUCUGAUGCAGCGAUGCCGCGUGAGUGAAGAAGGCCUUUGGGUUGUAAAGCUCUUUCGUCGGGGAAGAAAAUGACUGUACCCGAAUAAGAAGGUCCGGCUAACUUCGUGCCAGCAGCCGCGGUAAUACGAAGGGACCUAGCGUAGUUCGGAAUUACUGGGCUUAAAGAGUUCGUAGGUGGUUGAAAAAGUUGGUGGUGAAAUCCCAGAGCUUAACUCUGGAACUGCCAUCAAAACUUUUCAGCUAGAGUAUGAUAGAGGAAAGCAGAAUUUCUAGUGUAGAGGUGAAAUUCGUAGAUAUUAGAAAGAAUACCAAUUGCGAAGGCAGCUUUCUGGAUCAUUACUGACACUGAGGAACGAAAGCAUGGGUAGCGAAGAGGAUUAGAUACCCUCGUAGUCCAUGCCGUAAACGAUGUGUGUUAGACGUUGGAAAUUUAUUUUCAGUGUCGCAGGGAAACCGAUAAACACACCGCCUGGGGAGUACGACCGCAAGGUUAAAACUCAAAUGAAUUGACGGGGACCCGCACAAGUAGUGGAGCAUGUGGUUUAAUUCGAAGAUACGCGCAGAACCUUACCAACACUUGACAUGUUCGUCGCGACUCUAAGAGAUUAGAGUUUUCGGUUCGGCCGGACGAAACACAGGUGCUGCAUGGCUGUCGUCAGCUCGUGUCGUGAGAUGUUGGGUUAAGUCCCGCAACGAGCGCAACCCUCACUUUUAGUUGCCAUCAUUAAGUUGGGCACUCUGAAAGAACUGCCAGUGAUAAGCUGGAGGAAGGUGGGGAUGACGUCAAGUCCUCAUGGCCCUUACGUGUUGGGCUACACACGUGCUACAAUGGCAUCUACAACAGGAAGCAAAACGGCAACGUUAAGCAAAUCCCGAAAAGAUGCCUCAGUUCGGAUUGCACUCUGCAACUCGAGUGCAUGAAGCUGGAAUUACUAGUAAUCGUGGAUCAGCGUGCCACGGUGAAUGCGUUCCCGGGUCUUGUACACACCGCCCGUCACACCAUGGGAGUUGGUUCUACCUUAAGGCAAGGUUUUAAACCCUUGACCACGGUAUAGUCAGCGACUGGGGUGAAGUCGUAACAAGGUAACC
This 1379-nucleotide ribosomal RNA is filed under the name uncultured marine bacterium. Its description in RNAcentral is "16S ribosomal RNA". It matches the Rfam family "Bacterial small subunit ribosomal RNA". The record is from RNAcentral.